Molecule: ribosomal RNA, 800 nt
Filed under: uncultured bacterium
Lineage: Bacteria
Description: bacterial SSU rRNA
Rfam family: Bacterial small subunit ribosomal RNA
Source: RNAcentral
AAGCUUGCUUUUGCUGGGCGACGACCGGCGCACGGGUGAGUAACGCGUAUCCAACCUGCCCAUAACUAAGGGAUAAUCCGUAGAAAUGCGGUCUAAUACCUUAUGUGUUCCGACGAGGACAUCUGAAUUGGAAUAAAGAUUUAUCGGUUAUGGAUGGGGAUGCGUCUGAUUAGAUUGUUGGCGGGGCAACGGCCCACCAAGUCUACGAUCAGUAGGGGUUCUGAGAGGAAGGUCCCCCACAUUGGAACUGAGACACGGUCCAAACUCCUACGGGAGGCAGCAGUGAGGAAUAUUGGUCAAUGGGCGGGAGCCUGAAUCAGCCAAGUAGCGUGCAGGAUGACGGCCCUAUGGGUUGUAAACUGCUUUUGUAUGGGGAUAAAGUGCUCCACGUGUGGAGUUUUGCAGGUACCAUACGAAUAAGGACCGGCUAAUUCCGUGCCAGCAGCCGCGGUAAUACGGAUGGUCCGGGCGUUAUCCGGAUUUAUUGGGUUUAAAGGGAGCGUAGGCCGUGGAUUAAGUGUGUUGUGAAAUGUAGGCGCUCAACGUCUGACUUGCAGCGCAUACUGGUCCACUUGAGUGCGCACAACGCGGGCGGAAUUUGUCGUGUAGCGGGGAAAUGCUUAGAUAUGACGAAGAACCCCGAUUGCGAAGGCAGCUCGCGGGAGCGCAACUGACGCUGAAGCUCGAAAGUGCGGGUAUCGAACAGGAUUAGAUACCCUGGUAGUCCGCACGGUAAACGAUGGAUGCCCGCUUUUCGGUCAUUAGACCGUGAGGCCAAGUGAAAACAUUAAGCAUCCCAC